AGAGUUUGAUCCUGGCUCAGGAUGAACGCUAGCGACAGGCUUAACACAUGCAAGUCGAGGGGCAGCAUAGAAGUAGCAAUACUUUGGUGGCGACCGGCGCACGGGUGAGUAACGCGUAUGCAACCUACCUAUCAGAGGGGAAUAACCCGGCGAAAGUCGGACUAAUACCGCAUAAAACAGGGGCACCGCAUGGUGGUAUUUGUUAAAGAAAUUCGCUGAUAGAUGGGCAUGCGUUCCAUUAGGUAGUUGGUGAGGUAACGGCUCACCAAGCCGACGAUGGAUAGGGGAACUGAGAGGUUGGUCCCCCACACUGGUACUGAGACACGGACCAGACUCCUACGGGAGGCAGCAGUGAGGAAUAUUGGUCMAUGGGCGGGAGCCUGAACCAGCCAAGUCGCGUGRARGAAGAAGGAUCUAUGGGUUCGUAACUUCUUUUGSMAGGGAAUAAARUGSMAGACGUGUCCUGKUUUUGKAUGKACCCUGRGAAUAGRWYSGGCUAACUYCGUGGCCAGCAGCGCGUUAUACGGAGGAUCCGAGCSGUWUCCGRAUUWWUUGGGUUUAAGGGKGCGUWAGKGGUUUGAWAAGUCAGCGGUGAA
This 596-nucleotide ribosomal RNA is filed under the name uncultured Bacteroides sp. Its description in RNAcentral is "partial 16S rRNA". It matches the Rfam family "Bacterial small subunit ribosomal RNA", at positions 8 to 598 of the family's 1533-position model. The record is from RNAcentral. Lineage: Bacteria; Pseudomonadati; Bacteroidota; Bacteroidia; Bacteroidales; Bacteroidaceae.